AUGCUUGCAGCGUUGCUUUCCCCAGCUCCCGGUGCUGCCGAGCCCUCGAUCCAGCAGAGCUCGGCUGCUGCUGUCACCAUCCCCUGGCUCCCAAGUGCUGCUGCCCAUGCUCGUUUUGCACGGGCCGUGCUUUAUUUCCUCGCCCGUUCCCUGCCCCCAGAGCUUUCCCAGGAGCGUUGUUCCACCCGCUGCUCUGAGGGAAAGAAGGGAAAAAAAAAAAACCCACCAGCAACAGAACCGCGUCGCUUUGGAGCUCAGUUCCUCCUUCCCUGCCCGGUGCUGCCCUCUCCAUGGGGUGUGAGCACGCAGGAGCCACGGCCGCAUCCUUCCUGCCCACGCCGAGCCGCAGAAAGGGGAACUUGUUCUUUCCUCCCUUUCUCCCUUCACCCUCCUCUGCUCCGUGUCAGAAUUCCAGCCCUGUUUCUAAUCAGGGGAAAUCCUGGCAGGCACCAAAUGUGCGCUCGCAUUCAAGGGCGAGGAGCAGAGCGUGCUGUGCAUGGAGCCUCAGCAGCCGCCCCAGGAGCGGAUCCGUCCCAGGGGCUGCAGAAACCCACCUUGCUGGGGGCUGACCCCCCCCUCCCCCCUCCACCCCAUCCCUUGGCUUUCCCACACCAGAUUCCCACCUCUCCGUGCGUUUCCCGAUGCGACGUCCUCCAUUUGUUUGGGCUUUGGGCUCCCGAGGAACUUCCAAGCGAAACCAAACCGACCCAAAUCUGCUUUUGGGCCCCUCUGCCUCCACCCUCUGCCACCGGGUUCCCCGUGCCCGUGGGGCGCUGGGCAGCACCGGGGGUCCCACGCAGACCCCCCCCUUCUCCCCGUUCCCCUUUUGGUGCCAGUGCUGCUCUUUGCACGGCCAGAACCACGGCUUCAGGGUUUGCUGCCCCAACACUGCGGGCGUUGCAUUGCACUGCGUUCCAUUGCACUGCAUUGUGUUGUGUUGCAUUGCACCGCGUUGCAUCGCAUUGUGCUGCAUUGCGUUGCACCGCACUGUGCUGCAUUGCAUUGCACCAUAUUGCAUUGUGCUGCAUUGUGUUGCAUCACCUCGCGUUGCACUGUUGCAUUGCAUCGCACCGCAUUGCAUCGCACCAUGUUGCGUUGUGUUGUGCUGCGUUGCAUUGCAUUGCGUUGGAUUGUGUUGCACUGUGUUGCACUGCACUGCACUGCAUUGCGUUGCAUCACACCGUGUUGUGUUGCAUUGCAUUGCACUGUGUUCCAUUGCACUGUGUUGCAUUGCACUGCGCUGCGUUGCAUCGUGUUGCAUUGCAUUGUGCUGCAUUGCAUUGCAUUGUGCUGCAUUGCAUUGCACCGUGUUGCAUUGCAUUGUGUCGCAUCGCAUUGCACUGUUGCACUGCGUCGCACCAUGUUGCAUUGCACUGCACCGUGUUGCGUUGCGCUGUGUUGCAUUGA
This 1407-nucleotide long non-coding RNA is filed under the name Numida meleagris (helmeted guineafowl). RNAcentral describes it as "lncRNA (ENSNMEG00000003679.1)". The record is from RNAcentral. Lineage: Eukaryota; Metazoa; Chordata; Aves; Galliformes; Numididae.